Molecule: unclassified non-coding RNA, 871 nt
Filed under: Hevea brasiliensis (rubber tree)
Lineage: Eukaryota; Viridiplantae; Streptophyta; Magnoliopsida; Malpighiales; Euphorbiaceae
Source: RNAcentral
GUGCAGAACUCAAAAAAUGGGCUUCAGAAACUGAAGCUCAAAGGAUCCCCAUGAUCAGUAUAAAAUCUAAGGCGUAAAAUACAUCACUAAAUGUCAAUCAUCAUCUGACAGACAAACAACCUCAGUUGUUGGACAUGUUACAUUUGUACUUGUAUUAUUUGGCACUCUAAGCUCAGGUGGGACCAAGGUGUCUGAGCUGGAACCCAAAUUUGUUAGCGGGUGCAAAGCAUAGGGUGAGUUUGUACUUGUUUGAUUAUCCACAUCCAUAAGCAACUCAAGUACAGAUAGAGAUGAACUAGAAAGUGCUGGCAAAGUUCCUGCAGUUUCAGGUCUCUCUGUAAAAUUAGGAUGAUGAGAUUGCUGUGCAGAUGGCUGUGGUUGCAAUGGAAGCUGGGAUGGCACUGCAGAGGCUGUAGGGGGAUGAUUGGGCAUAAGUUGACUAGGCAUCCCAACUGAAAGAGAGGGACGACUUGUUGCAACUGUCGAUGCUGAAGAUCUGAAAGGUUGUAGGUGGGGGGCAGGAGCUCGAAUUUCGCUGCCAAUUUGGAGAUUACCAGUGGCAGGGGAGAUGGAGCUAAUUAGAGGUGUUCUAGUUAGGGCACCUGUGAAAAGUGCCGAGGAAUGAUCAACCACCUGCAGAGAUGGAGAUGCGCUGUGUGAACUGGAAGCAGCAAUCUGUGGGCCACCUGUAGGCGGAACAGCUGAAGACAGACCAGUAAAGCUGGCAUUCCUCUGUGCAGUUUGCUGCGAUGAUAGCUGAAGCAGCUGUUGCAUGAAACUUGAGGCCACAUCUCGCUGCAUACCAGCUGCAAUAGGUGACUUAUUAUCCAUACAUUUAGAUCUGAAUGCCUCAGCCAAGAUCUUGUUCAUA